This 406-nucleotide ribosomal RNA is filed under the name uncultured eukaryote. RNAcentral describes it as "SSU rRNA". It matches the Rfam family "Eukaryotic small subunit ribosomal RNA", at positions 592 to 997 of the family's 1831-position model. The record is from RNAcentral.
CAAUAGCGUAUAUUAAAGUUGUUGCGGUUAAAAGCUCGUAGUUGGAUUUCUGUUGAGGAUGGCCGGUCCGCUCUAUGAGCGUGUAUCUGGUUCAGCCUUGGCAUCCUCUUGGGGAACGUAGCUACGCUUGAUUGCGCGGUGCGGUAUUCAAGACUUUUACUUUGAGGAAAUUAGAGUGUUCACGGCAGGCAUUCGCCUUGAAUAUAUUAGCAUGGAAUAAUAAUAUAGGACCUUUGUUCUAUUUUGUUUGGUUUCUUAGAGCGAAGGUAAUGAUUAAUAGGGAUAAUUGGGGGCGAUUUGUAUUAACGCGUCAGAGGUGGAAUUCUUGGAUUGCGUUACGACAAACUAACUGCGAAAGACAUUUGUCCAAGGAUGUUUUCAUUGAUCAAGAACGAAAGUUAGGGGA